Molecule: non-coding RNA, 48 nt
Filed under: Schistosoma mansoni
Lineage: Eukaryota; Metazoa; Platyhelminthes; Trematoda; Strigeidida; Schistosomatidae
Source: RNAcentral
ACCCAACGGACGAGUCUCAAAUAGGACGAAACGCCCGUCAAACUGGAU